RNAcentral lists this transfer-messenger RNA (129 nucleotides) under Alphaproteobacteria bacterium. Its description in RNAcentral is "partial transfer-messenger RNA". It matches the Rfam family "Alphaproteobacteria transfer-messenger RNA", at positions 1 to 131 of the family's 355-position model. Rfam says of the family: Bacterial tmRNA, also known as 10Sa RNA or SsrA, is named for its dual tRNA and mRNA-like properties. Its role is to liberate the mRNA from a stalled ribosome. The record is from RNAcentral. Lineage: Bacteria; Pseudomonadati; Pseudomonadota; Alphaproteobacteria.
UUGCUUGACCAAAUUCUAAAAAAAAUAUAAAGUAAGAAAUGUGUUUUGCACUAUAACGAUAAACGUUAUUUUAAGUAAAUAUUUUGGACCCGGGGGCGGUGCCCGGCACCUCCACCAAAAAGAUUUUAU